This 253-nucleotide ribosomal RNA is filed under the name uncultured bacterium. RNAcentral describes it as "partial 16S ribosomal RNA". It matches the Rfam family "Bacterial small subunit ribosomal RNA", at positions 524 to 776 of the family's 1533-position model. The record is from RNAcentral.
GACAGAGGGUGCAAACGUUGUUCGGAAUUACUGGGCGUAAAGCGCGUGUAGGCGGCUUGGCAAGUCGGGUGUGAAAGCCCUGGGCUCAACCUAGGAAGUGCACUCGAAACUGCUUCGCUUGAGUGCCGGAGAGGAAAGCGGAAUUCUCGGUGUAGAGGUGAAAUUCGUAGAUAUUAGGAAGAACACCGGUGGCGAAGGCGGCCCACUGGAUCGGUACUGACGCUGAGCUGCGAAAGCGUGGGGAGCAAACAGG